This 486-nucleotide ribosomal RNA is filed under the name uncultured bacterium. RNAcentral describes it as "partial 16S ribosomal RNA". It matches the Rfam family "Bacterial small subunit ribosomal RNA", at positions 30 to 507 of the family's 1533-position model. The record is from RNAcentral.
AUUGAACGCUGGCGGCAUGCCUUACACAUGCAAGUCGAACGGCAGCACGGGUGCUUGCACCUGGUGGCGAGUGGCGAACGGGUGAGUAAUACAUCGGAACAUGUCCUGUAGUGGGGGAUAGCCCGGCGAAAGCCGGAUUAAUACCGCAUACGAUCUACGGAUGAAAGCGGGGGACCUUCGGGCCUCGCGCUAUAGGGUUGGCCGAUGGCUGAUUAGCUAGUUGGUGGGGUAAAGGCCUACCAAGGCGACGAUCAGUAGCUGGUCUGAGAGGACGACCAGCCACACUGGGACUGAGACACGGCCCAGACUCCUACGGGAGGCAGCAGUGGGGAAUUUUGGACAAUGGGCGAAAGCCUGAUCCAGCAAUGCCGCGUGUGUGAAGAAGGCCUUCGGGUUGUAAAGCACUUUUGCCCGGAAAGAAAUCCUUGGCUCUAAUACAGUCGGGGGAUGACGGUACCGGAAGAAUAAGCACCGGCUAACUACGUG